UACGUAGGGGGCAAGCGUUGUCCGGAUUUAUUGGGCGUAAAGCGCACGCAGGCGGUCUUUUACGUUUUGAGUGACAGGUGGGGGCUUAACUCCCACAGGCCUCAGAAGACGGGAAGACUUGAGGGCUUCAGAGGGACGCGGAAUUCCAGGUGGAGCGGUGAAAUGCGUAGAGAUCUGGAAGAACACCAAAGGCGAAGGCAGCGUCCUGGGAAGCAUCUGACGCUCAGGUGCGAAAGCUAGGGGAGCGAACGGG
This 253-nucleotide ribosomal RNA is filed under the name uncultured bacterium. Its description in RNAcentral is "partial 16S ribosomal RNA". It matches the Rfam family "Bacterial small subunit ribosomal RNA", at positions 524 to 776 of the family's 1533-position model. The record is from RNAcentral.